This 467-nucleotide ribosomal RNA is filed under the name uncultured bacterium. RNAcentral describes it as "partial 16S ribosomal RNA". It matches the Rfam family "Bacterial small subunit ribosomal RNA", at positions 28 to 506 of the family's 1533-position model. The record is from RNAcentral.
GACGAACGCUGGCGGCGUGCUUAACACAUGCAAGUCGAACGGAAAGGCCCUGCUUUUGUGGGGUGCUCGAGUGGCGAACGGGUGAGUAACACGUGAGUAACCUGCCCUUGACUUUGGGAUAACUUCAGGAAACUGGGGCUAAUACCGGAUAGGAGCUCCUGCUGCAUGGUGGGGGUUGGAAAGUUUCGGCGGUUGGGGUUGGACUCGCGGCUUACCAGCUUGUUGGUGGGGUAGUGGCUUACCAAGGCUUUGACGGGUAGCCGGCCUGGGAGGGUGACCGGCCACAUUGGGACUGAGAUACGGCCCAGACUCCUACGGGAGGCAGCAGUGGGGAAUAUUGCACAAUGGGCGGAAGCCUGAUGCAGCAACGCCGCGUGCGGGAUGACGGCCUUCGGGUUGUAAACCGCUUUCGCCUGUGACGAAGCGUGAGUGACGGUAAUGGGUAAAGAAGCACCGGCUAACUACGU